This 434-nucleotide ribosomal RNA is filed under the name uncultured bacterium. RNAcentral describes it as "partial 16S ribosomal RNA". It matches the Rfam family "Bacterial small subunit ribosomal RNA", at positions 29 to 507 of the family's 1533-position model. The record is from RNAcentral.
AGCGAACGCUGGCGGCAGGCCUAACACAUGCCAGUCGAACGAACCUUUCGGGGUUAGUGGCGGACGGGUGAGUAACACGUGGGAACGUGCCUUUAGGUUCGGAAUAACUCAGGGAAACUUGUGCUAAUACCGAAUGUGCCCUUCGGGGGAAAGAUUUAUCGCUUUUAGAGCGGCCCGCGUCUGAUUAGCUAGGUGGUUGAGGUAAUGGCUCACCAAGGCGACGAUCAGUAGCUGGUCUGAGAGGAUGAUCAGCCACAUUGGGACUGAGACACGGCCCAAACUCCUACGGGAGGCAGCAGUGGGGAAUCUUGCGCAAUGGGCGAAAGCCUGACGCAGCCAUGCCGCGUGAAUGAUGAAGGUCUUAGGAUUGUAAAAUUCUUUCACCGGGGACGAUAAUGACGGUACCCGGAGAAGAAGCCCCGGCUAACUUCGUG